CAAGAGCGUAUAUUAAAGUUGCUGCGGUUAAAAAGCUCGUAGUUGGAUUUCAGUCUAGGAAGGUUAACUCGCCGAAAGGUUGUACGUUGAUUUUCCUCAGACUUCGUCAGAAGCUCGUGCUGCACUUAACUGUGUGGUACGAUGUUCUGACCUUUUACCUUGAGGAAAGUAGAGUGUUUCAGGCAGGCUACCCAGCUUGAAUACAUUAGCGUGGAAUAAUGAAAUGGAUCUCGGUUCGAUUUCGUUGGUUCUAGAGCUGAGGUGAUGAUCAAUAGGAACAGGCGAAGGUAUUCGUACUUGAGAGUGAGGAGUGAAAUCCGAUGAUCUCUUAAAGACGAUCCGAGGCGAAAGCAUUUGUCAAGGAUGUUUUCAUUGA
RNAcentral lists this ribosomal RNA (376 nucleotides) under uncultured eukaryote. Its description in RNAcentral is "partial 18S ribosomal RNA". It matches the Rfam family "Eukaryotic small subunit ribosomal RNA", at positions 592 to 976 of the family's 1831-position model. The record is from RNAcentral.